RNAcentral lists this ribosomal RNA (753 nucleotides) under uncultured Glomeromycotina. RNAcentral's name for it is "SSU rRNA". It matches the Rfam family "Eukaryotic small subunit ribosomal RNA", at positions 338 to 1092 of the family's 1831-position model. Lineage: Eukaryota; Fungi; Glomeromycota. The record is from RNAcentral.
GGCCUACCAUGGUGGUAACGGGUAACGGGGUGUUAGGGCACGACACCGGAGAGGGAGCCUGAGAAACGGCUACCACAUCCAAGGAUGGCAGCAGGCGCGCAAAUUACCCAAUCCCGACACGGGGAGGUAGUGACAAUAAAUAACAAUACGGGGUUCUUUCGGAUCUCGUAAUUGGAAUGAGUACAAUUUAAAUCUCUUAACGAGGAACAAUUGGAGGGCAAGUCUGGUGCCAGCAGCCGCGGUAAUUCCAGCUCCAAUAGCGUAUAUUAAAGUUGUUGCAGUUAAAAAGCUCGUAGUUGAAUUUCGGGGUUAGCAGGUCGGUCGUGCCAUCGGUAUGAACUGGCCUCGCUGAUCCCUCCCUCUUGACGAACUGUGAUGCCAUUAAUUUGGUGUCGCAGGGAAUCAGGACUGUUACUUUGAAAAAAUUAGAGUGUUUAAAGCAGGCUCACGCUUGAAUACAUUAGCAUGGAAUAAUGAAAUAGGACGUUUGAUCCUAUUUUGUUGGUUUCUAGGAUUGACGUAAUGAUUAAUAGGGAUAGUUGGGGGCAUUAGUAUUCAAUUGUCAGAGGUGGAAUUCUUGGAUUUAUUGAAGACUAACUACUGCGAAAGCAUUUGCCAAGGAUGUUUUCAUUAAUCAAGAACGAAAGUUAGGGGAUCGAAGACGAUCAGAUACCGUCGUAGUCUUAACCAUAAACUAUGCCGACUAGGGAUCGGAUGAUGUUAAUUUUUUAAUGACUCAUUCGGCGCCUUACG